AUUGAACGCUGGCGGCAUGCCUUACACAUGCAAGUCGAACGGCAGCGGGCCUUCGGGUGCCGGCGAGUGGCGAACGGGUGAGUAAUGCAUCGGAACGUGCCAUUGAGUGGGGGGAUAACGUAGCGAAAGUUGCGCUAAUACCGCAUAUUCUGUGAGCAGGAAAGCAGGGGACCGCAAGGCCUUGCGCUCUUUGAGCGGCCGAUGUCAGAUUAGCUAGUUGGUGGGGUAAAGGCCUACCAAGGCGACGAUCUGUAGCGGGUCUGAGAGGAUGAUCCGCCACACUGGAACUGAGACACGGUCCAGACUCCUACGGGAGGCAGCAGUGGGGAAUUUUGGACAAUGGGGGCAACCCUGAUCAGCCAUGCCGCGUGAGUGAAGAAGGCC
Molecule: ribosomal RNA, 384 nt
Filed under: uncultured bacterium
Lineage: Bacteria
Description: bacterial SSU rRNA
Rfam family: Bacterial small subunit ribosomal RNA
Source: RNAcentral